CGGUGUCUUUGAUGACCCACGGUUACCUACAUUGUUUGAUCCUCGUGAGAACAGCACUGGCUGAGACACCU
This 71-nucleotide small nucleolar RNA is filed under the name Pteropus alecto (black flying fox). Its description in RNAcentral is "Small nucleolar RNA SNORD34". It matches the Rfam family "Small nucleolar RNA SNORD34". Rfam says of the family: snoRNA U34 is found in intron 5 of the ribosomal protein L13a gene in humans. U34 is a member of the C/D class of snoRNA which contain C (UGAUGA) and D (CUGA) box motifs, and functions in directing site-specific 2'-O-methylation of 25S rRNAs. Lineage: Eukaryota; Metazoa; Chordata; Mammalia; Chiroptera; Pteropodidae. The record is from Rfam by way of RNAcentral.